This 495-nucleotide ribosomal RNA is filed under the name Carnobacterium maltaromaticum. Its description in RNAcentral is "bacterial SSU rRNA". It matches the Rfam family "Bacterial small subunit ribosomal RNA", at positions 984 to 1479 of the family's 1533-position model. The record is from RNAcentral. Lineage: Bacteria; Bacillati; Bacillota; Bacilli; Lactobacillales; Carnobacteriaceae.
ACAUCCUUUGACCACUCUAGAGAUAGAGCUUUCCCUUCGGGGUCAAAGUGACAGGUGAUUCAUGGUUGUCGUCAGCUCGUGUCGUGAGAUGUUGGGUUAAGUCCCGCAACGAGCGCAACCCUUAUUACUAGUUGCCAGCAUUUAGUUGGGCACUCUAGUGAGACUGCCGGUGACAAACCGGAGGAAGGUGGGGAUGACGUCAAAUCAUCAUGCCCCUUAUGACCUGGGCUACACACGUGCUACAAUGGAUGGUACAACGAGUCGCAAGGUCGCGAGGCCAAGCUAAUCUCUUAAAGCCAUUCUCAGUUCGGAUUGUAGGCUGCAACUCGCCUACAUGAAGCCGGAAUCGCUAGUAAUCGCGGAUCAGAACGCCGCGGUGAAUACGUUCCCGGGUCUUGUACACACCGCCCGUCACACCACGAGAGUUUGUAACACCCGAAGCCGGUGAGGUAACCUUUUAGGAGCCAGCCGUCUAAGGUGGGAUAGACAAUAUGG